This 251-nucleotide long non-coding RNA is filed under the name Brassica napus (rape). RNAcentral's name for it is "long non-coding RNA (BNAP_LNC008745)". Lineage: Eukaryota; Viridiplantae; Streptophyta; Magnoliopsida; Brassicales; Brassicaceae. The record is from RNAcentral.
UCUCGAGAAGCACUAGCGGCCUGAGUGCGAGCAACUCUCUUACGCGGCGGCAUCUGAAAGAAAUAACAACUCAAUUAACUUCAGUCGAAACUGAACACUAACGAUUCAAGACAUAAUGCCAAGCAAAAAGGUGCUAUUUACUUUUAUUUUUAAAAUCCCCAUAUUCCUAUAAAUAUUUUAAAAAUCGUCUAAAACCGAUUAAAAACCGAGUCCCCACAAAUCGCCAUCCCGGGUCAGAGCCGGGACGGAAC